GAUGAACGCUGGCGGCGUGCCUAAUACAUGCAAGUCGAGCGAACGGACGAUAAGCUUGCUUCUCUGAUGUUAGCGGCUGACGUGUGAGUAACACUUGGAUAACCUACCUAUAAUCCUGGUAUAACUUCGGGAAACCGGAGCUAAUACCGGAUAAUAUUUUGAACCGCAUGGUUCAAAAGUGAAAGACGGUCUUGCUGUCACUUAUAGAUUUCUCCGCUCUGCAUUAGCUAGUUGGUAAGGUAACGGCUUACCAAGGCAACGAUGCAUAGCCGACCUGAGAGGGUGAUCGGCCACACUGGAACUGAGACACGGUCCAGACUCCUACGGGAGGAAGCAGUAGGGAAUCUUCCGCAAUGGGCGAAAGCCUGACGGAGCAACGCCGCGUGAGUGAUGAAGGUCUUCGGAUCGUAAAACUCUGUUAUUAGGGAAGAACAUAUGUGUAAGUAACUGUGCACAUCUUGACGGUACCUAAUCAGAAAGCCACGGCUAACUACGUG
This 497-nucleotide ribosomal RNA is filed under the name uncultured bacterium. Its description in RNAcentral is "partial 16S ribosomal RNA". It matches the Rfam family "Bacterial small subunit ribosomal RNA", at positions 28 to 507 of the family's 1533-position model. The record is from RNAcentral.